Molecule: transfer RNA, 72 nt
Filed under: Streptomyces albospinus
Lineage: Bacteria; Bacillati; Actinomycetota; Actinomycetes; Kitasatosporales; Streptomycetaceae
Description: tRNA-His
Rfam family: tRNA
About the family: Transfer RNA (tRNA) molecules are approximately 80 nucleotides in length.
Source: RNAcentral
GUGAAUAUAGUUUAAUGGUAGAACAGGCGCUUGUGGCGCACCUUAUCUCGGUUCGAGCCCGGGUUUUCACCC